GUCUGAAUUGGCUUCCAUUCACUUCACAGGGUAUCUCUAAGUGCUGGAGCACGUGAUUUUCAAUUCUACUCCCAACAACUUGGGAGGGGAAAGACCACAAAUAUUGAAAAAAUGACUUUGAUACAUUACAGAAAGCCUUGUAACUAGUGGUGUGACAUUUUCAUUUAGAAAGAUCCCCAAAAUCUCAUAUCAAAGCCAACAAGAAGCCUUGUGCAGGCAGCCCUGAGGUUUGGUUUGAAAUCUUGAUCCUGAUCCAAUUUAUGCUGGUUAGUUCAUCCUAAAAGAAUCAAUGUGUAGGAUCCUAACGUGUUCCAAUAAAGCAGCAUCCUUAAUUUGUUCAGUAUCUCAGGUAAAUUAAAAAUUAAUAAUAAUUAACUGGACUUUCUCCACAGCUCUGGUUUCUUUUGCACUGUCCCUACCCCUCAGGAGCUGACUGCAAGCUCACACAGGUGAUGUUCCUUAAAUCCUUAACUUCCAGAAGGACAGAAUUGCAUCAGAACCUCCACUUUCAGCUCACUCAGCUCAGUUCAUCUCAUCUCUUACCUGGGCCAAGACAAGUGCUGCCCAUCUCACCCUUCAUGGAGAUCACUGGACAAGAGGAGUCGAGGCCACUGUCUGCUGUGAGCUUCCCAGCUGGUCCACCUGGGAAUUGUAAAAUUCCCUUUCCACGCACAGGACCUGGGCUGCCUUUCAGCAUGCUUGAGACCGGGGAGUGUGACAACCCAGUCUGCCCAGUGAUGGAAAGUUAGAAACUGGAAAUGUACCUGGAUGCCACCCUGAGUCAGCCCAAACCGGAGCAUCUCUACAAAACACCUAGAUGUGAACAAACUACCGUCCUCUGACAAAAAUAUUCCGUCUGAGAAUUUCUGACCAGCUCCGGCGGUAAACACCUCCAGGGUGUCAUUUUUGUCUGAUACAGGGCAAAAAUUAUUCGGGUACCUGUUGCUCGGGGUGGAAAGAUGAGGGAAUGGAAUAGUAAAUUAAAGGGGUUGGAGCAAAAAGCAGCUGAUUGUCUGAGCACGGCUGGCCAAGUUGUGUUCAGGUAUCUGUGU
RNAcentral lists this long non-coding RNA (1052 nucleotides) under Cyanistes caeruleus (blue tit). Its description in RNAcentral is "lncRNA (ENSCCEG00000001122.1)". The record is from RNAcentral. Lineage: Eukaryota; Metazoa; Chordata; Aves; Passeriformes; Paridae.